This 439-nucleotide ribosomal RNA is filed under the name uncultured bacterium. Its description in RNAcentral is "partial 16S ribosomal RNA". It matches the Rfam family "Bacterial small subunit ribosomal RNA", at positions 339 to 795 of the family's 1533-position model. The record is from RNAcentral.
CUACGGGCUGCAGCAGUGAGGAAUAUUGCACAAUGGGGGGAACCCUGAUGCAGCAACGCCGCGUGGAGGAUGACGCAUUUCGGUGUGUAAACUCCUUUUAUAUGUCAAGAAAAUGACGGUAGCAUAUGAAUAAGCACCGGCUAACUCCGUGCCAGCAGCCGCGGUAAUACGGAGGGUGCAAGCGUUACUCGGAAUCACUGGGCGUAAAGGAUGAGUAGGCGGGUUGGAAAGUCAGGUGUGAAAUCCUACAGCUUAACUGUAGAACUGCACUUGAAACUUGUAAUCUAGAGUAUGGGAGGGGGAGAUGGAAUUAGUGGUGUAGGGGUAAAAUCCGUAGAUAUCACUAGGAAUACCUAAAGCGAAGGCGAUCUCCUGGAACAUUACUGACGCUAAGGCGUGAAAGCGUGGGGAGCAAACAGGAUUAGAUACCCUAGUAGUC